Molecule: ribosomal RNA, 255 nt
Filed under: uncultured bacterium
Lineage: Bacteria
Description: partial 16S ribosomal RNA
Rfam family: Bacterial small subunit ribosomal RNA
Source: RNAcentral
UACGUAGGGUGCAAGCGUUUGUCCGGAUUUAUUGGGCGUAAAGAGCUCGUAGGCGGCUUGUCGCGUCGACUGUGAAAACCCGCGGCUUAACUGUGGGACUGCAGUCGAUACGGGCUAGCUAGAGUUCGGUAGGGGAGACUGGAAUUCCUGGUGUAGCGGUGAAAUGCGCAGAUAUCAGGAGGAACACCGGUGGCGAAGGCGGGUCUCUGGGCCGAUGACUGACGCUGAGGAGCGAAAGCGUGGGGAGCGAACAGG